UGUGAUUUAAAGGAGAACUGCCUACUUUU
RNAcentral lists this non-coding RNA (29 nucleotides) under Macaca fascicularis (crab-eating macaque). Lineage: Eukaryota; Metazoa; Chordata; Mammalia; Primates; Cercopithecidae. RNAcentral also lists the same sequence under 1 other name. The record is from RNAcentral.